RNAcentral lists this ribosomal RNA (756 nucleotides) under uncultured bacterium. RNAcentral's name for it is "bacterial SSU rRNA". It matches the Rfam family "Bacterial small subunit ribosomal RNA", at positions 754 to 1504 of the family's 1533-position model. The record is from RNAcentral.
CGAAAGCAAGGGGAGCAAACAGGAUUAGAUACCCUGGUAGUCCUUGCCGUAAACGAUGUGGAUUAGGUGUUGGGGGUGUCGAUCCCUCCAGCGCCGACGCUAACGCAUUAAAUCCACCACCUGGGGAGUACGGUCGCAAGACUGAAACUCAAAGAAAUUGACGGGGACCCGCACAAGCGGUGGAGCAUGUGGUUUAAUUCGAGGCUACGCGAAGAACCUUACCCAGGCUUGAAAAGCAGUUGACAGCCUACGAAAGUAGGUCUUCUCGCAAGAGACAAUUGUACAGGUGCUGCAUGGCUGUCGUCAGCUCGUGCUGUGAAGUGUUGGGUUAAGUCCCGCAACGAGCGCAACCUUUGCCCUUAGUUGCCAACAGGUAAUGCUGAGAACAAUAAGGGGACUGCCGGCGAAUAGCUGGAGGAAGGGGGAGAUGACGUCAAGUCAGUAUGGCCCUUAUGCCUGGGGCUACACACGUGCUACAAUGGCCGCGACAAAGGGCAGCAAACCCGCGAGGGGGAGCUAAUCCCAAAAAAACGGCCUCAGUUCAGAUUGGAGGCUGCAAUUCGCCUCCAUGAAGUCGGAAUCGCUAGUAACGGUAGAUCAGCUACGCUACCGUGAAUACGUUCCCGGGUCUUGUACACACCGCCCGUCAAGCCACCUGAGUCGAGAGCACCCGAAGUCGGUCACCCAACCCCCAAGGGAGGGAGCCGCCGAAGGUGAGAUCGGUAAGGAGGGCUAAGUCGUAACAAGGUAGCCGUA